Molecule: ribosomal RNA, 645 nt
Filed under: Trametes hirsuta
Lineage: Eukaryota; Fungi; Basidiomycota; Agaricomycetes; Polyporales; Polyporaceae
Also listed under: 1 other name
Description: eukaryotic LSU rRNA
Rfam family: Eukaryotic large subunit ribosomal RNA
Source: RNAcentral
GCAUAUCAAUAAGCGGAGGAAAAGAAACUAACAAGGAUUCCCCUAGUAACUGCGAGUGAAGCGGGAAAAGCUCAAAUUUAAAAUCUGGCGGUCUUUGGCCGUCCGAGUUGUAGUCUGGAGAAGCGUUUUCCGCGUUGGACCGUGUACAAGUCUCUUGGAACAGAGCGUCAUAGAGGGUGAGAAUCCCGUCUUUGACACGGACUACCAAUGCUUUGUGAUGCGCUCUCAAAGAGUCGCGUUGUUUGGGAAUGCAGCGCAAAAUGGGAGGUGAAUUCCUUCUAAAGCUAAAUAUUGGCGAGAGACCGAUAGCGAACAAGUACCGUGAGGGAAAGAUGAAAAGCACUUUGGAAAGAGAGUUAAACAGUACGUGAAAUUGCUGAAAGGGAAACGCUUGAAGUCAGUCGCGUCGUCCGGAACUCAGCCUUGCUUCGGCUUGGUGCACUUUCCGGAUGACGGGCCAGCAUCGAUUUUGACCGCUGGAAAAGGGCUGGAGGAAUGUGGCACCUUCGGGUGUGUUAUAGCCUUCAGUCGCAUACAGCGGUUGGGAUCGAGGAACGCAGCACGCCUUAUGGCUGGGGUUCGCCCACAUUCGUGCUUAGGAUGCUGGCAUAAUGGCUUUAAACGACCCGUCUUGAAACACGGACC